Molecule: ribosomal RNA, 496 nt
Filed under: uncultured bacterium
Lineage: Bacteria
Description: partial 16S ribosomal RNA
Rfam family: Bacterial small subunit ribosomal RNA
Source: RNAcentral
GAUGAACGCUGGCGGCGUGCCUAAUACAUGCAAGUCGAGCGAACAGACGAGGAGCUUGCUCCUCUGACGUUAGCGGCGGACGGGUGAGUAACACGUGGAUAACCUACCUAUAAGACUGGGAUAACUUCGGGAAGCCGGAGCUAAUACCGGAUAAUAUAUUGAACCGCAUGGUUCAAUAGUGAAAGACGGUUUUGCUGUCACUUAUAGAUGGAUCCGCGCCGCAUUAGCUAGUUGGUAAGGUAACGGCUUACCAAGGCGACGAUGCGUAGCCGACCUGAGAGGGUGAUCGGCCACACUGGAACUGAGACACGGUCCAGACUCCUACGGGAGGCAGCAGUAGGGACUCUUCCGCAAUGGGCGAAAGCCUGACGGAGCAACGCCGCGUGAGUGAUGAAGGUCUUCGGAUCGUAAAACUCUGUUAUUAGGGAAGAACAAAUGUGUAAGUAACUAUGCACGUCUUGACGGUACCGAAGCAGAAAGCCACGGCUAACUACGU